This 440-nucleotide ribosomal RNA is filed under the name uncultured bacterium. RNAcentral's name for it is "partial 16S ribosomal RNA". It matches the Rfam family "Bacterial small subunit ribosomal RNA", at positions 338 to 795 of the family's 1533-position model. The record is from RNAcentral.
CCUACGGGAGGCUGCAGUAGGGAAUAUUGCUCAAUGGGGGAAACCCUGAAGCAGCAACGCCGCGUGGAGGAUGAAGGUUUUCGGAUUGUAAACUCCUUUUGUUAGAGAAGAUAAUGACGGUAUCUAACGAAUAAGCACCGACUACCUCCGUGCCAGCAGCCGCGGUAAUACGGAGGGUGCAAGCGUUACUCGGACUCACUGGGCGUAAAGAGCGCGUAGGCGGGAUAGCAAGUCAGAUGUGAAAUCCUAUGGCUUAACCAUAGAACUGCAUUUGAAACUGUUAUUCUAGAGUAUGGGAGAGGUAGGUGGAAUUCUUGGUGUAGGGGUAAAAUGCGUAGAGAUCAAGAGGAAUACUCAUUGCGAAGGCGACCUGCUAGAACAUAACUGACGCUGAUGCGCGAAAGCGUGGGGAGCAAACAGGAUUAGAUACCCUAGUAGUC